AGUGAACGCUGGCGGUAGGCCUAAUACAUGCAAGUCGAACGGCAGCACAGUAAGAGCUUGCUCUUACGGGUGGCGAGUGGCGGACGGGUGAGGAAUACAUCGGAAUCUACUUUUUCGUGGGGGAUAACGUAGGGAAACUUACGCUAAUACCGCAUACGACCUACGGGUGAAAGCAGGGGAUCUUCGGACCUUGCGCGAUUGAAUGAGCCGAUGUCGGAUUAGCUAGUUGGCGGGGUAAAGGCCCACCAAGGCGACGAUCCGUAGCUGGUCUGAGAGGAUGAUCAGCCACACUGGAACUGGGAAACGGUCCAGACUCCUAGGGGAGGCAGCAGUGGGAAAUAUUGGAAAAUGGGCGAAAGCCUACGCCAGCCAUACGGCGUGGGUGAGAAAGGCCUCCGGGUUGUAAAGCCCUUUUGUUGGGAAAGAAAAGCAGCAGGUUAAUACCCCGCUGUUCGGACGGUACCAAAAGAAUAAGCACCGGCUACCUUCGG
RNAcentral lists this ribosomal RNA (491 nucleotides) under uncultured bacterium. RNAcentral describes it as "partial 16S ribosomal RNA". It matches the Rfam family "Bacterial small subunit ribosomal RNA", at positions 29 to 506 of the family's 1533-position model. The record is from RNAcentral.